CCCUUAGAUGUUCUGGGCCGCACGCGCGCUACACUGAUGCAUUCAACGAGUCCAACCUUGACCGAGAGGUCCGGGUAAUCUUUGAAACUGCAUCGUGAUGGGGCUAGAUUAUUGCAAUUAUUAAUCUUCAACGAGGAAUGCCUAGUAAGCGUGAUUCAUCAAAUCGCGUUGAUUACGUCCCUGCCCUUUGUACACACCGCCCGUCGCUCCUACCGAUUGAGUGUGUUGGUGAGGAGUUUGGAUUGGCCUCGGAAGGUGGUUCGCCACCGUCCGUAGCUGAGAAGUUCUCCAAACCGGCCCACUUAGAGGAAGGAGAAGUCGUAACA
This 326-nucleotide ribosomal RNA is filed under the name uncultured eukaryote. RNAcentral describes it as "partial 18S ribosomal RNA". It matches the Rfam family "Eukaryotic small subunit ribosomal RNA", at positions 1470 to 1796 of the family's 1831-position model. The record is from RNAcentral.